GCCCUGGUUGAUUAAUGGAAAUCACCCCCCCAUCUUGUCAGUGUCAAUAUGAUGUGGACAGUGGGAGUCGGAGGUUCGAAUCCUCCCCAGGGCG
This is a non-coding RNA of Mycena rebaudengoi, 94 nucleotides long. Lineage: Eukaryota; Fungi; Basidiomycota; Agaricomycetes; Agaricales; Mycenaceae. The record is from the annotation of a GenBank genome assembly.